Molecule: long non-coding RNA, 4489 nt
Organism: Hemicordylus capensis (graceful crag lizard)
Lineage: Eukaryota; Metazoa; Chordata; Lepidosauria; Squamata; Cordylidae
Exons: 4
Source: RefSeq, a predicted model, not a curated record
UGGAAACCUCCAGUGAAAGAGAACCCACCAUUGCAUGAGGCAGACUGUUCCAUUGUUCAACAGCCCUUACAGCCAGGCAGUUCUUCUGAAUGUUUAGCCUGAAUCUAGUUCCUUGUCUUUUCAACCCAGCUGAAACUGAACUUGACUAUCCUGGGGGUGUCAUAAUACCCUGAUUAGGGUAUUGUUUCAGAAAAGAGAGCCAGCGUGGUGUAGUGGUUAGAGUGCUGGACUAGGACUGGGGAGACCCGAGUUCAAAUCCCCAUUCAGCCAUGAGACCUGCUGGGUGACUCUGGGCCAGUCACUUCUCUCUCAGCCUAACCUACUUCACAGGGUUGUUGUGAGGAGAAACCUAAGUAUGCAGUUCACCGUUCUGGGCUCCUUGGAGGAAGAGCGGGAUAUAAAUGUAAAAACAAAAAACAAAAACGUAUCUCUCUGCCACAGUGAGGACUAGAAACUUACCUCAUGACACCUUUCUUUCAACCAGCAGCCAAAAGAGCUGUCCACCUCAGGAUCCCAGUGCAAAGUUCUCUUUGUAUAGUUUACGGAUUAUCUAUUGAAGAGUUGUUGGGAAAUGUAUUAGGGAUAUUUCAAAGGCUUGUUCUGUGGCCUAGAAUAUCCUGCAAUUGUUUUUGAAUUGAAGGCCCAGCUGCACCCUCCCUGCCCUGAUUCCACCUUCCCAGCCUGGCCAGCCUGAGGAGAAUGGCUAGAAAUGGGGCUACCAGGUUUUCACCCCGAGGUGGUGCUUAUUGAUUUAUAUAAACCAAAGUGGUCACGUAUUCAAAUACAGAGAGACAGUAUACUCCUCUAGGUUCCUCUCUCUCUCUCUCUCUUUUUUUUGUUUUUAAAUGCCCCAGCUUGAUUUUGGACUGAGAAAUGGGCAGAAAUGGCUCCCAGGCCUGCUCCUUGGCAGUGGUGCUGAGGGGGUCGCCAUGGCCAUCUGGGCUACCAGACCCCCAGGAUUGGCCAGGAGUCUCCCAGAAUCAGCUCCAGCCUCCCGGUGAGGACUGAAAGCAGUCUUGGAGGUGUUAAUGGUCUGACACUAAGAAAGAAAGCAAAACCAUGAAGGGAAAAUAUCUCCAGGAAGAGCUUCACUCAGAGUUGGCAAUCCUGCUUUUAUACUAACUGAGAGGAUUGAAUUAUGAGGCUAUGAAUGAGGCCGGGAUGGGCCUCCAAGAGGCUUGAGGACUGUGGGAGAAAUAUACUCACUCGAUGUGUUUAAUUUGAGGGAUUCACACACUGUAUUGUCACUUACUUGAUAAACUUAUUGUUGUACCAUGAGGGCUGGAAACCUAUUUCAUAAAAUAUAGCUAAAAAGGAGGGAAAAAUCCUGUCAGAAUCCCAGUGCAGCCUCCUCCAUCACACUAUAUAGGAAGGACGAUUGAACACCUUUUGGAAGAUUAACCAGCUUUUAAAAACGUGUUUUAAGGCCUACAAAAUUUGCUGGCUGGGUUUAGGGCUGCAGCCUUUCACUCUUGUUUAUAUCCUGCCUUUCUACAACAGAAUUGUGCUCAAGGCAGGCUGUGCAGACUGCAUCCUCCUCUGCAGGAGGGCGAGCAAAGUUGCCUCACCAGACAACACAGAUGCACCUGAUCUCAAGAAAAGAAGCUGGACCAUCUGGGGGAGGAAGAGCACCACAGCAAGGGAGCAUGGAGCCAUGGGGGGGGGGGGGGGCACAGCCAAAAGACUCAACAGGCGGGCCCCAGCCAUCCAGACCUGAUGAGAGAGAAGAUGCUGUGCAAGUUGAACGAGACAUUCUUCCAAUCAGCAGGAUUGCUGACCCGGCAUGUGAUGGUGGAGUCUGAGGAGCUGGCUUGCCAGAACAAGUGGAGAUCCCUACCAUGACUGGAGAUCUGGUACCGGACUGAACCAUCUUCUGAAUCCUGGAGGGUGUUCCCGCUUUCCCAGGGUUUGCUAACAGAUGACCAAACCUCAGGAAUGCACACAGCUUCCAAAGCUGGGUACGACAUUUGUCCUGCUCCAUUAUCGGCCCUGUGAACAGCCUCAGAAGUGCCCCAGCCACGUGACUUAUGGGCUAGUCGAUUAUCAGCUUGCAAGUUGUAUCCAGUGGCAAAAAGAUUGCUUACUAUUUUAUUCCUAUCACUCCUUCUGGUGCCAAAGCCAUUUACAACAGUGAAAACAGAAAGGUGUCCAAGUAUGAAAUUCUCCAGGAGGGAUAAUGAGAUUGGGAAAUCUGUCAGGCUUGGCACAAAUAAUUUCCAUGGACUUUUUCCUUUCUAUGUUCCUUUCCCAACAACAGUGAUACCUCAGACUCUGUAAAACAAUUUUGCAUAUGUAUGUACUUCUAUAUUUUUGAUACCUUGAAAUACAAUUCACAUUCUUGAGUUCAAAGCAAAAACCACUGCUGUAGGAAACUGUUCAGCCUAAAUAGCUAUAUUACCUAAAGACUAUUUCGUUGAAAUGCCUGAUAUAAGAGACUUUUUAAUCUAAAGAGACUUUUUAAUUUAAUCUAGAAGGCGAGACCCUUCUAACAGAUUUCCACUGUCAUUGUUCUCAACAGUUUUUUUUAACAUCCACUAAUCAGAUUAAUAAUCCCAAAACCACAUUAUGCCCAGCAGGAAAAGGUGCAUGCCUUCAUCUCCUGAUUGGGGCUUCUCAGAGGCAUCUGAUGGGCCACAGGAUGACGGACUAGAAAAGCCUUGGGCCUGAUCCUGCAGGGCUAUUCUUAUCUUCUUAUGUAGGGUGCAGAUGAGAGCUUUAAUUUAAAAGGAACCCAUUUUAUUUGAAAAUACUGUACUGCCUCUGGGUAAUUUAGGAGUUUCCUGCCAUGCAUAUCUGGAUUGUCCUUUGGACUAGAAACUCUUGGCUUCAGCAAGAACAUAAGAACAGCCCUGCUGGAUCAGGCCCAAGAACGCCCAUCUAGUCCAGCAUCCUGUUUCACACAGUGGCCCACCAGAUGCUGCUGGGAGCCUACAGGCAGGAGUUGAGGGCAUGUCCUCUCUCCUGCUGUUACUCCCCUGCAACUGGUACUCAGAGGCAUCCUGCCUUUGAGGCUGGAGGUGGCCUAUAGCCCUCCGACCAGUAGCCAUUGAUAGACCUCUCCUCCAUGAAGUUAUCCAAACCCCUCUUCAAGCCAUCCAGGUUGUUGGCUGUCACCACAUCUUGUGGCAGAGAAUUCCACAAGUUGAUUAUACGUUGUGUGAAAAAGUACCUCCAUUUGCUGGCCCUAAAUUUCCUAGCAAUCAGUUUCAUGGGAUGAGCCCUGGUUCUAGUGUUAUGUGAGAGGGAGAAGAAUUUGGGACUCCUUCAGAGCUCUGACCUGUGGUCAGGCAUUAUUAGCUUGCUAUCAUGCCUAAAAACACUUUCGCUUUUGUGCUAUUGUGGUUUGGGGAAAAGCACAAGGAAGGGUGUCACCUCCAUUUGGGCAGAUGCUGAGCAAGUUGAAGGAGACCUUCUUCUGAUCAACAGGGUUGCUGACUAGGCAGGUGAAGUUGGAGUCUGAAGGGCUGGGAUGCCAGAACAAGUAGAGAUUGCUACCAUUCUCAGAGAGCUGAGACCGGUCUGACACAUCUUCGAGGCCCCUGAGUGGAUUCCCUCUCCUCCAGGAGACAUUAAACCUCCCCUUUCCAAAUGCCUGACACUGCAGGGUCACGUUGCAUCUGUCUGCAUCACGGGAGAUUAGAUGGUGGGAUAUCCGUACAUCUUGCACUAGUUCUAUCAAAAACAAAGGGGGAAAACAAUGAACGUUGUGUCCCUGGGCUGUCAGUAGCAGGAAAAGUCGUGGCAGUUUGAUUCCAUGUUCCGUUUGAGCAAAUCAUACAACAAUUGUUUACCAUAGAUCUCGAGGCUGAAAGUGUGGUCUUCGACCUCUGCGGUAUCCAGUCUCACGCGGGCUGUAUACACGCCAUGGUCCUCCAUUGCCAGGUCCAAGAUCCUCAGCGUGGUCUCAUUGGCCAUUUCCAGUCGCUUCCCAAACUGGUCACUGAGCUUAGUCUGCUUCAGGUUUCCAUCUCUGAACAUAGCAAUUCGGAACGUACGGUUCUUCUUGGUUUCAAAUGCCCAUUCUAUUUCAGCCACUGUUUUGGCUGAAGAUAUACCUACAUGAAGUAAGACUGAUCCUCCUAGGAUCCCAGCCACUUCCUGGUGGGCAAGCUUCUCCGCUGAACUACCCCCAGUGCCUGUUAUAUUUUUAAAAAAUAAGGGAGGGGUGACAUAAACAGAAGGAGAAAAAAGAUAUAUGCUUACUUUCCAUCCAUGACAAGUCUGAAAAUGCCAGGAAAUUAAGGAUGCAUGGCUCUGAAUGCAUGGCUUCUCCCUGGAAGCUUGUAGAUACGAUGACUGCUUUUCCCGCUCCAGGUUCAUAACUUUAAUAAUUUUAAGAACUUGUUUUAAUAACUAUUUUAUUAUGUUGUUUUUAUUGUCAUGUAUUUUAAUCUGUGACUUCAAUAUUUUAAAUUUUGUACACCACCUAGAGAUGUACAUAUCAAACGGUACAGAAAUAUGAUAAAUAAUCAAACAAAUAAAUUUUGAA